Molecule: ribosomal RNA, 442 nt
Filed under: uncultured bacterium
Lineage: Bacteria
Description: bacterial SSU rRNA
Rfam family: Bacterial small subunit ribosomal RNA
Source: RNAcentral
UGAGGAAUAUUGCUCAAUGGGGGAAACCCUGAAGCAGCAACGCCGCGUAAAGGAUGAAGGCGCUUUGCGUUGUAAACUUUUGUAGUCGGGGACAAAUUGGGAGUUACUACUCCCUUGAUGGUACCCGAAAAGUAAGGAUCGGCUAACUACGUGCCAGCAGCCGCGGUAAUACGUAGGAUCCGAGCGUUGUCCGGAUUUACUGGGUGUAAAGGGUGCGCAGGCGGACUGGUAAGUCAGAGGUGAAAUCUCGUCGCUUAACGACGAAACUGCCUUUGAUACUAUCAGUCUUGAAUCCGGUAGAGAUCUGUGGAAUUCCGAGUGUAGCAGUGAAAUGUGUAGAUAUUCGGAAGAACACCAGUGGCGAAGGCAGCAGAUUGGGCCGGUAUUGACGCUCAGGCACGAAAGCAUGGGGAUCAAACAGGAUUAGAUACCCGGGUAGUCC